UGUUGGUUCUCCCGCAACGCUACUCUGUUUACCAGGUCAGGUCCGGAAGGAAGCAGCCAAGGCAGAUGACGCGUGUGCCGGGAUGUGGCUGGCAGGG
This 97-nucleotide signal recognition particle RNA is filed under the name Escherichia coli. RNAcentral describes it as "signal recognition particle sRNA small type". It matches the Rfam family "Bacterial small signal recognition particle RNA". Rfam says of the family: The signal recognition particle (SRP) is a universally conserved ribonucleoprotein involved in the co-translational targeting of proteins to membranes. The record is from RNAcentral. Lineage: Bacteria; Pseudomonadati; Pseudomonadota; Gammaproteobacteria; Enterobacterales; Enterobacteriaceae. RNAcentral also lists the same sequence under 5 other names.